RNAcentral lists this transfer RNA (73 nucleotides) under Oreochromis niloticus (Nile tilapia). It matches the Rfam family "tRNA". From Rfam's summary of the family: Transfer RNA (tRNA) molecules are approximately 80 nucleotides in length. RNAcentral also lists the same sequence under 1 other name. Lineage: Eukaryota; Metazoa; Chordata; Actinopteri; Cichliformes; Cichlidae. The record is from Rfam by way of RNAcentral.
GCCCAGCUAGCUCAGUCGCUAGCGCAUGAGACUCUUAACCUCAGUGUCGUGGGUUCGAGCCCCACGUUGGGCG